UACAGAGGGUGCGAGCGUUAAUCCGACUUACUGGGCGUAAAGCGUGCGUAGACGGUUUCGUAAGUCGGGUGUGAAAUCCCCGGGCUCAACCUGGGAAUUGCAUUCGAAACUGCGAGGCUAGGGUACGGAAGAGGGAAGCGGAAUUUCUGGUGUAGCGGUGAAAUGCGUAGAUAUCAGAAGGAACAUCAGUGGCGAAAGCGGCUUCCUGGUCAAGUACCGACGUUCAGGCACGAAAGCGUGGGGAGCAAACAGG
This 253-nucleotide ribosomal RNA is filed under the name uncultured bacterium. Its description in RNAcentral is "partial 16S ribosomal RNA". It matches the Rfam family "Bacterial small subunit ribosomal RNA", at positions 524 to 776 of the family's 1533-position model. The record is from RNAcentral.